RNAcentral lists this ribosomal RNA (246 nucleotides) under Pseudo-nitzschia pungens. RNAcentral's name for it is "partial Bacterial small subunit ribosomal RNA". It matches the Rfam family "Bacterial small subunit ribosomal RNA", at positions 574 to 819 of the family's 1533-position model. Lineage: Eukaryota; Bacillariophyta; Bacillariophyceae; Bacillariales; Bacillariaceae. The record is from RNAcentral.
GGCGGCUGAUUAAGUCGGAUGUGAAAUCCCUGAGCUUAACUUAGGAAUUGCAUUCGAUACUGGUCAGCUAGAGUAUGGGAGAGGAUGGUAGAAUUCCAGGUGUAGCGGUGAAAUGCGUAGAGAUCUGGAGGAACAUCAAUGGCGAAGGCAACUCCCUGGCCAAAGACUGACGCUCAUGUGCGAAAGUGUGGGUAGCGAACAGGAUUAGAUACCCUGGUAGUACACGCCGUAAACGAUGUCUACUAG